GAUGAACGCUGGCGGCGUGCCUAACACAUGCAAGUCGAACGAAGCACCUUUUAAGAUUCUUCGGAUGAUUGAUUGGUGACUGAGUGGCGGACGGGUGAGUAACGCGUGGGUAACCUGCCCUGUACAGGGGGAUAACAGUUGGAAACGGCUGCUAAUACCGCAUAAGCGCAUGAGAGGACAUCCUCUUGUGUGAAAAACUCCGGUGGUACAGGAUGGGCCCGCGUCUGAUUAGCUGGUUGGAAGGGUAACGGCCUACCAAGGCGACGAUCAGUAGCCGGUCUGAGAGGAUGAACGGCCACAUUGGAACUGAGACACGGUCCAAACUCCUACGGGAGGCAGCAGUGGGGAAUAUUGCACAAUGGGGGAAACCCUGAUGCAGCAACGCCGCGUGAGUGAAGAAGUAUUUCGGUAUGUAAAGCUCUAUCAGCAGGGAAGAUAAUGACGGUACCUGACUAAGAAGCUCCGGCUAAAUACGUGCCAGCCGCCGCCGUAA
RNAcentral lists this ribosomal RNA (493 nucleotides) under uncultured bacterium. RNAcentral describes it as "partial 16S ribosomal RNA". It matches the Rfam family "Bacterial small subunit ribosomal RNA", at positions 28 to 523 of the family's 1533-position model. The record is from RNAcentral.